This 482-nucleotide ribosomal RNA is filed under the name uncultured bacterium. RNAcentral describes it as "partial 16S ribosomal RNA". It matches the Rfam family "Bacterial small subunit ribosomal RNA", at positions 30 to 507 of the family's 1533-position model. The record is from RNAcentral.
AUUGAACGCUGGCGGCAUGCUUUACACAUGCAAGUCGAACGGUAACAGGCCGCAAGGUGCUGACGAGUGGCGAACGGGUGAGUAAUGCAUCGGAACGUGCCCAGUCGUGGGGGAUAACUACUCGAAAGAGUAGCUAAUACCGCAUACGAUCUAUGGAUGAAAGCGGGGGACCGUAAGGCCUCGCGCGAUUGGAGCGGCCGAUGUCAGAUUAGGUAGUUGGUGGGGUAAAGGCUCACCAAACCAACGAUCUGUAGCUGGUCUGAGAGGACAACCAGCCACACUGGGACUGAGACACGGCCCAGACUCCUACGGGAGGCAGCAGUGGGGAAUUUUGGACAAAGGGCGCAAGCCUGAUCCAGCAAUGCCGCGUGCAGGAAGAAGGCCUUCGGGUUGUAAACUGCUUUUGUACGGAACGAAACGGCUCUGGUUAAUACCCGGGGCUAAUGACGGUACCGGAAGAAUAAGCACCGGCUAACUACGUG